UACAGAGGUCUCAAGCGUUGUUCGGAUUCAUUGGGCGUAAAGGGUGCGUAGGCGGCGCGGUAAGUCGGGUGUGAAAUCUUGGAGCUUAACUCCGAAACUGCAUUCGAUACUGCCGUGCUUGAGGACUGGAGAGGAGACUGGAAUUUACGGUGUAGCGGCGAAAUGCGUAGAUAUCGUAAGGAAGACCAGUGGCGAAGGCGGGUCUCUGGACAGUUCCUGACGCUGAGGCACGAAGGUCAGGGGAGCAAACGGG
RNAcentral lists this ribosomal RNA (253 nucleotides) under uncultured bacterium. Its description in RNAcentral is "partial 16S ribosomal RNA". It matches the Rfam family "Bacterial small subunit ribosomal RNA", at positions 524 to 776 of the family's 1533-position model. The record is from RNAcentral.